Molecule: long non-coding RNA, 976 nt
Organism: Cyprinodon tularosa
Lineage: Eukaryota; Metazoa; Chordata; Actinopteri; Cyprinodontiformes; Cyprinodontidae
Exons: 3
Source: RefSeq, a predicted model, not a curated record
UUCUCUUAAUCCUAAACAGAUUGGCUUCUGCCGCAGAAGAAAACCCUCAGCCUGGCCGUCUCCUUGGCGUUUGCUCCGCAGGAACCCUGUUAAUCGGCAGCACAUGCGAUGGGUUAUGGAAUGGAUUAUGGGGCCUUGCAACCCUCCACGGACCAAAGAAAGAAGGGAGGUAGCAGUGGCGGGGGGGAGACAGUUGUCAGUCAUUCCUAAUAGUGGCUCCCCUCAACAGCGGAGUCAAUGGCUCUCUCUCUCUGAUGUGAACACUGCAUAGAAACUCAUGCGGCGCUCUGAACGUAGUAAGUGGAGGUCUGUGAAAUCGUGGCGAGGAAGAAGGAUCUGAGAGGAGGAGGACAGGAGAAGGGGGGAAGAGGCAUGGGGAGAAUGAGAUAAAGAAGACAGAGACAAUCCAGGAAAAACACACAUGUACAAACAGACUCUGUCAGAGAACAAAACGGUGAGUUUAGCACAGUCUUCAUUUUUCACUACUAGUUACAGUUAUGUGAAAAUUAGCAAUGAAUGCGUUGUAUCUGCGUGCCCCCACAGUGUGUACUUCUCAGGAGGUGGGUCACGUCUCAGCAACAAAUCUGCAAGACGCACUCUGUUGCUAUUAUGCACACAGAGAGGAUCUACUAAAACCAUAAAGUGCAUAAAACAAUACAAAUUCUGAAAUGUGGAAAGGUAUGUUCAUGCAUUUGUGCUUUUUGAAAAAUGGAGUCACAAAUGCAAAGGAAAGGGAAAAAAGACACCCCCUUUCUUGUGCGCUGAGAGUGGAUCAGACAUCAGGUGAGUGCAAAAAUCCCUAAAAAAAGGAAGACUUUUUUUUGUUGGUUGGGUUUAUCCACAUAUUCAGAGUCAGACCAUACAUUCAAGCCACUGCAGCAUUUAAUGCCUAAAAAUGUGUAUAUGUUUUGUUUUCUCACAUUUUGUCAUAUUUAAAUCCUGAACUUUAGUGUUUUUACUUGUAUUGAUUUGGUAC